GACGAACCGUGCGAACGUUGUUCGGAAUCACUGGGCUUAAAGGGCGCGUAGGCGGGCUGUCAAGUCCGGGGUGAAAGCCCUCCGCUCAACGGAGGAAUGGCCUUGGAUACUGGUGGUCUUGAGGAAGGUAGGGGCGUGCGGAACUCUCGGUGGAGCGGUGAAAUGCGUAGAUAUCGGGAGGAACGCCGGUGGCGAAAGCGGCACGCUGGACCUUUUCUGACGCUGAUGCGCGAAAGCCAGGGGAGCAAACGGG
RNAcentral lists this ribosomal RNA (253 nucleotides) under uncultured bacterium. RNAcentral describes it as "partial 16S ribosomal RNA". It matches the Rfam family "Bacterial small subunit ribosomal RNA", at positions 524 to 776 of the family's 1533-position model. The record is from RNAcentral.